AGAUUCACAAGUCACGAUUCACAACUUUCGGCGCAUAUCAGAAACAAAAAUCAAAACAAUUUACAAACCCUAAACUUUCUCUCUCUAGUUUCCAUUCUCCACUACUCAGCCUACUCUCCAAUCUCCACCGGACUCCCAAUCAGAUCGCCGGCGAAUGAAACAGCAUCAAAGACCUCCGUUCAGAUCUGAUGUUGAUGAUAUUAGUAGGGAUGAAGAUUAGUCCUUUCGGGAGAUGGAGAUUGGAUGCUCAUAUCGGAUACAUCAUUGUUAUUUUUUUUGCUUGAUCAUUUGUAGGCUAGGAUCGAUGAUUUGUCUAAUCAAUUGAAGGGAAGGGAGCCAGUAUGUUUUCCAAGAUUGAAUUACGUUCGGGGUAUCAUCAAUUAAGAGUGGCUGAUAAGGAUAUACCUAAGAGUGCUUUUAAGACUAGAUAUGGGCACUAUGAGUUUACAAUUAUGUCUUUUGGGUUGACCAAUGUACUUGCAAUAUUUAUAGACUUAAUGAAUCGAGUAUUCUAUGAGUAAGUUUGUAGUUGUUUUUAUUGAUGAUAAUUUGGUGUACUCGAAUAUUGAGGAAAACAUGAGCCCUUGGGAGGCCGAGGAUUAUAUGAGAAAGAGAAAUCCUGAGUUAUUUAA
This is a long non-coding RNA of Chenopodium quinoa (quinoa), 632 nucleotides long. RefSeq lists it as uncharacterized. NCBI's taxonomy places the organism in Eukaryota, Viridiplantae, Streptophyta, Magnoliopsida, Caryophyllales, Amaranthaceae. The record is from RefSeq and is a predicted model, not a curated record. The transcript is spliced from 2 exons.